Molecule: transfer RNA, 67 nt
Filed under: Marmota marmota marmota (Alpine marmot)
Lineage: Eukaryota; Metazoa; Chordata; Mammalia; Rodentia; Sciuridae
Also listed under: 1 other name
Rfam family: tRNA
About the family: Transfer RNA (tRNA) molecules are approximately 80 nucleotides in length.
Source: Rfam by way of RNAcentral
GGUUGUGGCUCAGUGGUAGAGCACUUGCCUAGCAUGUGUAAGGCACUGGGUUCGAUUCUCAGCACCA